CGUCGUUGUGUUGCCAAUCAACUGAUAAUUGUGUAUGCUACUAGUAUCCUCUCCAGUCGAAGCUGGCGAUCAGCAAGAUGUUUACAUUUGGCUUGAACACUCAGUCGUGGUACUUUCCAUCUCCUACAAACGAGCUUACAUAUGCGUGGACAUGAGUGGAGUUCGUGGUGCACCUUUUUGCUGCAAGUUCUAGUCAUAAAUAAAUAAAUAAAUAAAGGUUUGGACAAUGGUGUGCCCAUAUGCAUGCAUGAUACUAGUCCAUCCCAUUUUCUCAUGGUUUCCCCACUUAUCUAGAGUACUAGCUAGGCCACUUGCUGCGCCAGACGCCAUGUGAGAUCUUUCUCCAUCCCGUCUCGCAAUUCUAUUUUAUUUUUUGAUAGGAUCAUCCCGCCUCGCAAUUGGUUGGCAGUUCAAUGCACACAGCUCCACAAUCAGAAUGGGAGGUAUACUUCCAUGUUCUGGGUUUAUCCUUGUUGCAUCACACCAGCAACUAUGCUAUGCAUGUUGGACACUGUAUCCAAGGAUCCGGAUAUUCUGCAGGCACACUGUGCAUUGUCACCACAUAUAUAAUGGACUUGUAUUGUCUAAGAAAAAUAGGCAUGCAGACAUGUUAGGCAGGGAGAUCUUGCAGGAUGGAUAGUUUACCUGUGAACCAAAGUAGUACUGCAGCAAUUUUCAGCUACGAACCUCACCUUUUCUUUUCUGAAGAUAGACUAUUGUGGAAACCUCACCUUUUCUUUUCUGAAGAUAGANNN
Molecule: long non-coding RNA, 755 nt
Filed under: Triticum aestivum (bread wheat)
Lineage: Eukaryota; Viridiplantae; Streptophyta; Magnoliopsida; Poales; Poaceae
Description: long non-coding RNA (TAES_LNC014563)
Source: RNAcentral